CGCCAAGGUCCGGCGUUUGAGGGUUAUCUGAUAUAGUGGGGUGGCUUCGGCUGCUCCGCCCGUCACUUCGGUGACACCCCGGGGGCAACCCCAACCCUUCCCUCAGACAUCAACUUGACCUGGU
RNAcentral lists this small RNA (124 nucleotides) under Pristionchus pacificus. RNAcentral's name for it is "Nematode sRNA ceN72-3_ceN74-2". It matches the Rfam family "Nematode sRNA ceN72-3_ceN74-2". Lineage: Eukaryota; Metazoa; Nematoda; Chromadorea; Rhabditida; Neodiplogasteridae. The record is from Rfam by way of RNAcentral.